Helianthus annuus (common sunflower) is the source of this 3622-nucleotide long non-coding RNA. RefSeq lists it as uncharacterized. The transcript has 5 exons. The record is from RefSeq and is a predicted model, not a curated record. Lineage: Eukaryota; Viridiplantae; Streptophyta; Magnoliopsida; Asterales; Asteraceae.
UGACAGGUACACCUGGAUAUCUAAAAUCCACCAUAAUGAAUGGGAUGUCCUUUGUGGACAAUUGGGCCUUUGUUUGAAUGUUGCAGCUGAUUGACAAAGGUGUAUAAUGUUGCAGCUGAUUAACCUUAUCCGUCUUUGUCAUGGCUGGUGAACUAAAGAGGGAGUGUUUUAAAGUCUCUAAGGUAAUAAAGAAUCUAUCUUUCAUCCAAAAGCUAAAUCGAUGUUACAUCAGAAUUUUGCUCUAUAUUUCAUUUGAAUUCAUUAUACUACUUAUGAUAUUUGCCAAAAAAAAAAUUAUGCAAUCUUCAUAACUGCUUUGUUGGAAUGCAAUGGAAUGGGUCAAGAAAAAAAAUACUCCAGUGCAGAAGAUAGAUAAUGAGAAAAAAGAGAAAUGGAAAAGGGAGAAAGAAGUGAAGGGGGUGGUGGCCUGAGGGUCACCACCGUCACACCACCAGCACACCACCAGCAUGGUCACCAUCUCGACCGUUUCCCAUGCAAGCAAAAGAAAGAAGGGAUGGUGACUAUUAAUCUAUGAAAUCGACGGUGUUUAACAGCGGCGAGGGAUUCGAUUUGUCGUGGACUACCAAGAAUAACCGCGAUAAUUGACGAAUGAGGGUUCCGGAAGUUGUGAUGGCCGACCGACAUGAUAGUGGAGGUGAGACUUAUGCCUUUUUCUAAGGUUCAAAUGAUGGCGUGAUGGUUGAUUAGUCGUGGUGCACGCUUUCCAUAUCUGGAUCGAUUUAUAUUGAAUUUCCUCACGGAGCUUGACAGGAUUUAGUAAUUGCAUCGAAAACUGUCGCUUUUGCCGAUAGACCAUUUGGUUCAGAUUCAUGAGGUGUUAAAUGCCAUUUAAGAAAAAUAAAGUGCGUUAAUUCGAGGGAAGGCGGCUUCAAAGCAAUCCAAACCACCUCAAGUGAUGAAAAAAACUGCCAAAGUUUUGAACAACUUUGACGUGUCGACUGAGGUUAUUCCUUAACUUUUUUUGGUAGAGCUUGCAAAACCUCAAGUGAUAAUGUUUCAAAGGAUUAGCGGAUAAGUCAUAUUCAAAGAAUAAAGUUCAGGGAAGGCGGCUUCAAAGCAAUCCAAACCACCUCAAUUGAUGAUGUUUUAAAGGAUUAGCGGAUAAGUCAUAUCUCAAAGAAGAAAGUUCAGAUGAGGACUUCAGUUUUUUUUCGUUCUAAAAACAUGUUUCUUUUGUCAUUUCUGUUAAUUCAUAAUAUUAUCAUAAUGCCUUCAUCUUUUUGACACAGUGGCUCUACGUGCUUGGAUCAUAAUGGGUUCUGAUUCAGAUCUUCCAGUGAUGAAAGAAACUGCCAAAGUUUUGAACGACUUUGACAUGUCGACUAAGGUUAUUCCUUAACUCUUUUUGGUAGAGCUUGCAAAAACUGUGGGUUGGGAAACAGAUCAAAACGAGUAUGUGAAAUCUGUUGGGUCGAUCAGAUUAUGUGACAUCUGAAUAUUGAGUGACCUAUGAGAGUUGCUCAGAGUUGGUCUAAAUAUGAUGUUCUAAACCGGCACAUAAAGUUAGCUAAGAAGUACACGGGUCAAAAUAAUCAGUUUUUUUAAUUUAUUUGAGACUUCAAUAUGUAAUUAUUAAUAAACAAAAUAAUAAAUACGAUAUGUAUUUAUUUUUAUAUUUAUUUUUUAUUUAAGAUUUAUAUAACCCAAGUCACGUUUUAUGGAGAUAAUCUCUGGUUGCCUCAACACUGGCAUGUCUGGUACGUUUUUUGUUUCUCAAGAUCCAUUAGAGAUUUUGAAUUUUUAUAGUUUGUUUUCAUGAUAAACUGGUGCGUUAAACCAUUACUUUACUAUAUGCUUGUGUUUACUUUCUCAAUGGAAGUUUUGGUUUCCUUUGUAAUUAUUCCACAUUAUGAGUUAUUUUUUAUUACUUUGUCUUUUUAAGUUUGUGAAUUACUUUUUGGAGAUUGUACAUUUGUAUUAGCCUAUUAGGAUCAUUUGAAGGUCGGUCUUCAUAAUUUUUUUGUAACAUGUAUUCACGUUUUGUUUUGUGAUAUUAUUCUUUGUGAAUGGAUUUACAAAAUCGACAGUGUGAGAGAAGUUGGAGCAGAUCUUAUUUGAGAAGUUGACUUUUCGAAGUAAUUUAUGUUUGUGCGGCCCUUGACAUGGCAUAAGUAGAUUCUUCAUCAUUAAACGGGUUAAAAAAUUAAUUAUUUUUUUUUCGAGUUGUAUCUUAUCUCAAAUUUUAUACUUUAAAAAUUUGCUGAAAUUGAAAUGGUUCGCUUUCUUUACAUUUUCUUUUUGGUUUAUUUUAUGUUUACUUAGAAUGGUAGUUAUGUGCUUACUGGUGAAGGAGCAGGGAAUCUGAUCAAGGCCUUUUGAUAUGUUACCAAACACCCUUGGUAACCUGCGUCAGGUAUACACCAAUAGUGUACAAGGAAUUUAGUCAAAUGGGUCAAAAGUUGCACGAACUAUGACUAAUAUAGUUCAUUAUGGACCAAUCCAGCAUGUUUUAACCCACAAUAAGCAACACGUUUUGACAUGUUACGUAUUAAUGAACAUGCAUGGGGCCUACUUAGUUUCACCGAUGUUAACUGAUGGAGGUUGUGAAAUCCGAGUGUUAAUGUGCAUAUUUGGUGUGAUUUAUUGCCGUUUACGUGAUUAUACGUUUGGAAUAUGUGCACUACGAAAGUUUGUGAUUUUGCAGGUAAAUCGCGUAAUUCGGUGAAUUUAAAGUGCUUAAAGAUGAUGUGGAACGGCCGUGGAUGAUAAACAUAGCGAAAGGUGUUAGUCGGAAGAUGCUUCGGGUUAGAAAAUAUCUUGGAAUCGAGAUGAAACGAGAAGGAAUGAGGCAUAGGGACCAUUCAGUCAUUUAUUGAAAGUUGCCACAUAGCUAUGUAUGGAGUUCACAUGCACAACGUAAGCUACUCUGUAGAUCCGUAGGCUACGGAUUGGAAUGUCUGACAUCAACAGAAACAGCGAACUGUAGCUUACGGUUUAAAACGUAAGUUACAUGUAUGUAUGGCGGUGUAUCUUUUAUUGUUGAAGGGCAUUAAAAGAAAAGGAUUUAAAAAGAAAAACCCUAAAGUGGAUGCAUAACAGUGGGUGAUUGGAGGGAUUAUUAAUUUGAGAACUCACAACAUUAUCAUCAAUCACGUGGGUGGAGAAAAUAUUGAACUAGAGGGGUUUUUGGCGGCAUUUAUUGAAUGUUCAUUAUCAUCACAAGAUUAAAUUGGGUGAGAAGGAGAGAGGCAGGCAUCACGUGGAGCAUCAUAGGCUUUGGAGAUUUUUAAUCAACAUCAAUCAUCCAUCAUCAGCACACAUCACAUCUCGAUGAUCAUUAAAAAGGCAUCACAUAAGUUGACAAUUGAGAAAAGGCAUCAUGUGCACAAGGCAUCAGUUUUUAAUAAAAAUCAUCCACUAACUUGAGACAUUGGACUACGUGUGACGGCAAGGAGAAGCCCAAGAAACACUUGGGCCGCACAUGGGACUUCUUUUGUAUGCAUGGAGCCGUCCAAGACAUCACGUCACGUGGACUUCUAUUUGGGCCACGUAAGUGGGCCGACAUAUUGGAGUGUUUUUGGGCUGCGAACAUGAAUAUUGAGGAGAGGUACAAAAGUCAAAAGAGAGGAUAAUCUCGGGGAUCUUCGACGGCAGACGGCAG